GUAUAAAAAAUAAUCACUCGUAUAUACUCAGAGAUAUGGUCUGAGAGUCUCUACCAAAAUACCGUAAAUAUUUUGACUAUGAGUGGAAUUAUUAUA
Molecule: non-coding RNA, 96 nt
Filed under: chicken gut metagenome
Description: Purine riboswitch
Rfam family: Purine riboswitch aptamer
About the family: Riboswitches are metabolite binding domains within certain messenger RNAs that serve as precision sensors for their corresponding targets. Allosteric rearrangement of mRNA structure is mediated by ligand binding, and this results in modulation of gene expression.
Source: RNAcentral